AAAAGUUGAGGAGUCAUAUAGAUAGAGAUCAAUGUUGCCCGUGCUCAUAAAUCAUGCAGAAUAAGCUUCAGUUGAUAGCAGUUACCAGCAAAGUAAGAGUACUUAUAUUUAGCUUCAGCUGGUAAGAAUAAAAUUAUAGUGCCAAUAUGUUUGUAGCAUCAAUCAUUCCACCUAUUUCAUUUUCUAACUCCCAGAACACCAUCCAAUUACCUGUAACCUGUUUGUAACAAAAGAGUAUUCAAUAAGCUUAAAAUUCAAGGGAAAAGAAAAGAAUAGGUACGAAUUAAUAUGAGCCCCUUAAAAUUCAAACCACAAAUAUUAUUCAGUUAUUAAGGAGUGUUUUUUUUCACGGAAGAGCAGGCACAUUCAAAACCUAUUCGUUGACAGAAUAUCAUCAGUUAACCACUUAAUCUAGAUUAUUUGCCUUGCCUCCCUCGGAAACACAUGUCUAGGAAUUCCAGUACCAGUUCGCUUCCUCCUAUUAAAUCUAGCCCCCUUCGAUUCUUGUACAUGAACAAAUUGAACGGCAGGAAGCAAGAGUCCAUAAAUUGGGGAUUAAAAAACUAUAGGAGUGAGCAGCUUAUAAGGGACGAAGGUGUACCUGUAGAGGC
RNAcentral lists this long non-coding RNA (611 nucleotides) under Triticum aestivum (bread wheat). RNAcentral's name for it is "long non-coding RNA (TAES_LNC004691)". Lineage: Eukaryota; Viridiplantae; Streptophyta; Magnoliopsida; Poales; Poaceae. The record is from RNAcentral.